RNAcentral lists this ribosomal RNA (928 nucleotides) under uncultured organism. RNAcentral describes it as "partial 16S ribosomal RNA". It matches the Rfam family "Bacterial small subunit ribosomal RNA", at positions 328 to 1252 of the family's 1533-position model. The record is from RNAcentral.
UGCCCGGACUCCUACGGGAGGCUGCAGCAACCAAUAUUGGACUAAUGCGCGACAGCGUGAUCCAGCAAUGCCGCGUGCGGGAUGAAGCCCCUCGGGGUGUAAACCGCUGUCAGGGUCUAGAAACACAAUGAUCGGACCCAGAGGAAGAGACGGCUAACUCUGUGCCAGCAUGCCGUGGUAAUACAGAGGUCUCGAGCGUUAAUCGGAACUCAUUGGGCUUAACGGGUGCUCAUGCGGUGCCCGCCAGUGCUUUGUGAAAUACCACGGCUCAACCGUGGAAUUGCUCGGCAUACUGCGGGCCUUGAUGGCGGCAGAGGUCGUCGGAACUCUAGGUGUAGCGGUGAAAUGCGUAGAUAUCUAGAGGAACGCCUAUGGAGAAGUCAGACGACUGGGCCGUACCUGACGCUUCAGGCACGAAAGCCUGGGGAGCAAACGGGAAUUAGAUACCCCGGUAAGUCCACGCCCUAGACGAUGUGCAAUAGAUCCGGGAGGUUCGGACACCAUCCGGCUUGAAGCAAAAGUGAUAAGUGCACCGCCUGGGGAGUACGUUAGCAAGGCUAAAACUCAAAGACAUUGACGGGGGCUCACACAAGCGGUGGAGCAUGUGGCUUAAUUUGAAGCAACCGCGAAGAACCUUAUCCAGGGUUUGACAUGCACGGAUAACGUUAGGAACCAGCGACCACAGUCCCUUUGGGUUGGAACGUGACACAGGUGAUGCAUGUCGGUAGUCAGCUCGUGCUGUGAAGUCUCAGGGUUAAGUCCCUUGACGAGCGGACUCCCUUCCGUCUAGUUACCAGCGGGUAAUGCCGGGAACUCUAGCGGGCCUGCCGGUGUCACUCCGGAGGAAGUUGGGGAUGACAUCAAGUCCUCAUGUCUUUUAUGUCGUGGACAGCACACGUCCUACAAUGGCGUUUACAGAGCGAAGCAA